GAAACAGGUGCUAAUACCGCAUAACCAUAGUUACCGCAUGGUAGCUAUGUAAAAGGUGGCUAUGCUACCGCUUUUGGAUGGGCCCGCGGCGCAUUAGCUAGUUGGUGGGGUAAAGGCUUACCAAGGCAAUGAUGCGUAGCCGAACUGAGAGGUUGAUCGGCCACAUUGGGACUGAGACACGGCCCAAACUCCUACGGGAGGCAGCAGUAGGGAAUCUUCCACAAUGGGCGAAAGCCUGAUGGAGCAACGCCGCGUGGGUGAAGAAGGUCUUCGGAUCGUAAAACCCUGUUGUUAGAGAAGAAAGUGCGUGAGAGUAACUGUUCACGUUUCGACGGUAUCUAACCAGAAAGCCACGGCUAACUACGUGCCAGCAGCCGCGGUAAUACGUAGGUGGCAAGCGUUAUCCGGAUUUAUUGGGCGUAAAGGGAACGCAGGCGGUCUUUUAAGUCUGAUGUGAAAGCCUUCGGCUUAACCGGAGUAGUGCAUUGGAAACUGGGAGACUUGAGUGCAGAAGAGGAGAGUGGAACUCCAUGUGUAGCGGUGAAAUGCGUAGAUAUAUGGAAGAACACCAGUGGCGAAAGCGGCUCUCUGGUCUGUAACUGACGCUGAGGUUCGAAAGCGUGGGUAGCAAACAGGAUUAGAUACCCUGGUAGUCC
RNAcentral lists this ribosomal RNA (656 nucleotides) under uncultured bacterium. RNAcentral's name for it is "bacterial SSU rRNA". It matches the Rfam family "Bacterial small subunit ribosomal RNA", at positions 153 to 796 of the family's 1533-position model. The record is from RNAcentral.